This 24-nucleotide non-coding RNA is filed under the name Arabidopsis thaliana (thale cress). The record is from RNAcentral. Lineage: Eukaryota; Viridiplantae; Streptophyta; Magnoliopsida; Brassicales; Brassicaceae.
UGUUGGUGCCAAGAGGGAAAAGGG